This is an RNA transcript of Phragmites australis (common reed), 1001 nucleotides long. RefSeq lists it as uncharacterized. The transcript has 4 exons. NCBI's taxonomy places the organism in Eukaryota, Viridiplantae, Streptophyta, Magnoliopsida, Poales, Poaceae. The record is from RefSeq and is a predicted model, not a curated record.
UCCGCUCUUGCACCUACCUUUUCCACUUAGCCUAUCUGCCUUCCUGAAACCUUUUCUAGUCUGACAACUAUGAAGGACUUCUCAAAUCUUGAAACCCCUGAUCCUAAUUUCGUUGGCGGUCAUCGUUCUUCCUCGUUUAAAAUCGAUCUCGUUUUCAGCGUCUGAAUAAUAGAAGAAUUGUAAUUAUAUUGGGCUCAGCCCAGGAGGCCCACGCGUUUCUCUCCUUCACUAGCCCAGCCCAAUCACGCUCUCAGCAGUCAGGCCCAGGCCCAGCGCUGCGCGCCGCCACUCGGCUCCCUCCUCCAUCCCUCGCCGGCCACCGCAGCGCGUCCAGACCCAGCGAGCACCCCGCGAGACACAAGAGCGCGGAGGAGAGGAGGGAGCUCGAGAAUAUGGGGUGGAAAGCGGCGGAGAAGCUCAUCAGGCAAUGGAAGAUCCUUCGCGGUGACAGCGUGAUGAUUAUCAUAUGCAAGGCCAAGGGGGAGACCGGGCUGAUCAAGCGAGUCAUUCGGUCGCAAAAUCGCGUCAUUGUGGAGGGCAAGAACUUGUGUUGGACUGCAAAAUACCUCCGAUUAAGCUGCACUUGAUGGUCGUCAUCUCCAAAAUAAGAGUUGUCUCCAUUCCUAGAUAUGCUCAGUAACAUUCCAGUCACUUGGCAAUCCAUGAAGCAGAAACAGAAAGUUGUAGCGCUUUCAUCUUGUGAAGCUGGGUAUACAGCAACUGCAACUUCAACUUGCCAGGGACUCUGGCUGGCUUGGGUGCUGGCUGAGAUACUGGGCACCAAACCAUGCAUUCCAAAGUUGAAAGUGGACAACAAGUCCGCAAUUUCUCUAAAAAAAAAAAUAUGUGCUACAUGAUCAGUUCUUUGCUUUGAUAAAUAAUAAGUUACACAACAAAAAACAUUGUUGCAUUGUAGCACAACUCUACGUGUUCUUGUGCCUUUUUAGGUGUUUCACGUGAGUUGAGAUUUUUCUCAAGCUGAAGAGCGAAAUAACUUCUUG